Symphalangus syndactylus (siamang) is the source of this 265-nucleotide long non-coding RNA. RefSeq lists it as uncharacterized. Lineage: Eukaryota; Metazoa; Chordata; Mammalia; Primates; Hylobatidae. The record is from RefSeq and is a predicted model, not a curated record.
GCUCCUUGUUCAAACAGCAGCCCCUCUAACAGCUCCUGUUAAAAGCCAGGGGAUGCUUCACUGCUUAGACGUGAAUCACUUCCCCCAACCACACAGAAGUAUCCUUCAAAGAACUUCCUUCCUGCCUCUGCAAAUCAGAAAUUCAGCAAAAGGAGCAUCUGUCCUAAACACCUGCCAGGGGAGCACAAAGCAUUGAAGAACAAUUGCUCGUCUUUGCAGCAUUUCACAUUCCAUACAAGAGACAAAAGGCCCAACCCCCACUACC